GUCCCCUUCGUCUAGCGGCCUAGGACGCUGCCCUCUCACGGCAGUAACAGGGGUUCGAAUCCCCUAGGGGACA
RNAcentral lists this transfer RNA (73 nucleotides) under Limimonas halophila. Its description in RNAcentral is "Rhodospirillaceae bacterium Ia16 tRNA". It matches the Rfam family "tRNA". From Rfam's summary of the family: Transfer RNA (tRNA) molecules are approximately 80 nucleotides in length. The record is from Rfam by way of RNAcentral. Lineage: Bacteria; Pseudomonadati; Pseudomonadota; Alphaproteobacteria; Rhodospirillales; Rhodovibrionaceae.